RNAcentral lists this ribosomal RNA (484 nucleotides) under uncultured bacterium. RNAcentral describes it as "partial 16S ribosomal RNA". It matches the Rfam family "Bacterial small subunit ribosomal RNA", at positions 30 to 507 of the family's 1533-position model. The record is from RNAcentral.
AUUGAACGCUGGCGGCAGGCCUAACACAUGCAAGUCGAGCGGAUGAAGGGAGCUUGCUCCUGGAUUCAGCGGCGGACGGGUGAGUAAUGCCUAGGAAUCUGCCUGGUAGUGGGGGAUAACGUCCGGAAACGGGCGCUAAUACCGCAUACGUCCUGAGGGAGAAAGUGGGGGAUCUUCGGACCUCACGCUAUCAGAUGAGCCUAGGUCGGAUUAGCUAGUUGGUGGGGUAAAGGCCUACCAAGGCGACGAUCCGUAACUGGUCUGAGAGGCUGAUCAGUCAGACUGGAACUGAGACACGGUCCAGACUCCGACGGGGGGAAGCAGUGGGGAAUAUUGGACGAAGGGCGAAAGCCUGAUCCAGCCAUGCCGCGUGUGUGAAGAAGGUGUUCGGAUGGUAAAGCACUUUAAGUUGGGAGGAAGGGCAGUAAGUUAAUACCUUGCUGUUUUGACGGUACCAACAGAAUAAGCACCGGCUAACUUCGUG